This is a non-coding RNA of Streptomyces sp. Mg1, 75 nucleotides long. It matches the Rfam family "ASpks TB sRNA". NCBI's taxonomy places the organism in Bacteria, Bacillati, Actinomycetota, Actinomycetes, Kitasatosporales, Streptomycetaceae. The record is from Rfam.
CUUCACCGAGCCGAGCAGCAGGGGCCGGUCGUCGCUGUGCUCGCGGCCGUAGGUGGCCAGCAGCGCCUGCGCCUC